CGUCAAAUCAUCAUGCCCCUUAUGACCUGGGCUACACACGUGCUACAAUGGACAGAACAAAGGGCUGCAAGACCGCAAGGUUUAGCCAAUCCCAUAAAUCUGUUCUCAGUUCGGAUCGCAGUCUGCAACUCGGCUGCGUGAAGCUGGAAUCGCUAGUAAUCGCGGAUCAGCAUGCCGCGGUGAAUACGUUCCCGGGCCUU
RNAcentral lists this ribosomal RNA (200 nucleotides) under uncultured organism. RNAcentral describes it as "partial small subunit ribosomal RNA". It matches the Rfam family "Bacterial small subunit ribosomal RNA", at positions 1183 to 1382 of the family's 1533-position model. The record is from RNAcentral.